GUGGGGAAUUUUGGACAAUGGGCGCAAGCCUGAUCCAGCCAUGCCGCGUGUGUGAAGAAGGUCUUCGGAUUGUAAAGCACUUUAAGUUGGGAGGAAGGGCAGUAAGUUAAUACCUUGCUGUUUUGACGUUACCGACAGAAUAAGCACCGGCUAACUUCGUGCCAGCAGCCUCGGUAAUACGAAGGGUGCAAGCGUUAAUCGGAAUUACUGGGCGUAAAGCGCGCGUAGGUGGUUUUGUAAGUUGGAGGUGAAAUCCCCGGGCUCAACCUGGGAACUGCCUCCAAAACUGCAUGACUAGAGUACGGUAGAGGGUAGUGGAAUUUCCUGUGUAGCGGUGAAAUGCGUAGAUAUAGGAAGGAACACCAGUGGCGAAGGCGACUACCUGGACUGAUACUGACACUGAGGUGCGAAAGCGUGGGGAGCAAACAGGAUUAGAAACCCUAGUAGUCC
Molecule: ribosomal RNA, 450 nt
Filed under: uncultured bacterium
Lineage: Bacteria
Description: partial 16S ribosomal RNA
Rfam family: Bacterial small subunit ribosomal RNA
Source: RNAcentral